UAAGAGAAUCAGUGUUGCUCUGAGGAC
RNAcentral lists this non-coding RNA (27 nucleotides) under Mus musculus (house mouse). The record is from RNAcentral. Lineage: Eukaryota; Metazoa; Chordata; Mammalia; Rodentia; Muridae.